This is a long non-coding RNA of Ictalurus punctatus (channel catfish), 674 nucleotides long. RefSeq lists it as uncharacterized. Lineage: Eukaryota; Metazoa; Chordata; Actinopteri; Siluriformes; Ictaluridae. The transcript is spliced from 3 exons. The record is from RefSeq and is a predicted model, not a curated record.
UAUCUUAAUAUUCCUUUUUAUUAUUCUUAUAAAGUUAUAAUAGUAUGUGUGUGUGAGAGAGAUUGUGUGUGUGUGUGUUAUGUCUACUUGCCCGCCCUUGACUGUACAAGGGUGUGUGUGUGUGUGUGUGUGUUUUAGCACUCCUCAGCUCGUACACUUCUUUCGACUUUUUGACUAACAACCCAUAGUGUAUUACUCUUAAAGAUCUUUAAAGUGUUUUUCCAAUUUAUCCACAUCUGACUAAUACCGCUUCUGUAUGUCUAGGUGCCGGUGCCCGUCGUCAGUCCCUUCUCUCUCCGUUACUGGACCUGGAUCUGGAUCUGGAUCUGGACACUCAUUACCAGCUUGUGCAUCUCACUGCUGAUAUCAUGAUGCUACUUAACUAUCUUCGCAGCACCCCCUCUAGGAAUGGAGAUCCGGGGUUCCCCCCUCUUCUUCGAUACAGAAUCUGCCUACAGCAUCUACAGCAAUCUACAGCAAAUAUGCUGUCCGAAAGAACACGUUAACAUCAAGGGCAACAAGUGCUGAGAUUGUGACGGUGAUGAAAAGGUGGCUGCAGCUGGCUUCAGACCGUGGAGGAGGAUGGAAGAGGGGGUGCUGCGAAGAUAGUUAAGUAGCACCAUGAUAUCAGCAGUUAGAUGCGCAAGCUGAUAAUGAGUGUCCAGAUCCAGAUC